This 468-nucleotide ribosomal RNA is filed under the name uncultured bacterium. Its description in RNAcentral is "partial 16S ribosomal RNA". It matches the Rfam family "Bacterial small subunit ribosomal RNA", at positions 28 to 507 of the family's 1533-position model. The record is from RNAcentral.
GACGAACGCUGGCGGCGUGCUUAACACAUGCAAGUCGAACGGAAAGGCCCUGCUUUUGUGGGGUGCUCGAGUGGCGAACGGGUGAGUAACACGUGAGUAACCUGCCCUUGACUUUGGGAUAACUUCAGGAAACUGGGGCUAAUACCGGAUAGGAGCUCCUGCUGCAUUGUGGGGGUUGGAAAGUUUCGGCGGUUGGGGAUGGACUCGCGGCUUAUCAGCUUGUUGGUGGGGUAGUGGCUUACCAAGGCUUUGACGGGUAGCCGGCCUGAGAGGGUGACCGGCCACAUUGGGACUGAGAUACGGCCCAGACUCCUACGGGAGGCAGCAGUGGGGAAUAUUGCACAAUGGGCGGAAGCCUGAUGCAGCAACGCCGCGUGCGGGAUGACGGCCUUCGGGUUGUAAACCGCUUUCGCCUGUGACGAAGCGUGAGUGACGGUAAUGGGUAAAGAAGCACCGGCUAACUGCGUG